Molecule: ribosomal RNA, 254 nt
Filed under: uncultured bacterium
Lineage: Bacteria
Description: partial 16S ribosomal RNA
Rfam family: Bacterial small subunit ribosomal RNA
Source: RNAcentral
UACGAACUGUGCGAACGUUAUUCGGAAUCACUGGGCUUACAGGGUGCGUAGGCGGCUAUUCAGGUCAGGUGUGAAAGCCCCCCGGCUCAACCGGGGAACUGCGCUUGAAACCGAGUGGCUCGAGUCAGCUAGAGGUACACGGAACUUCCAGUGGAGCGGUGAAAUGUGUUGAUAUUGGAAGGAACACCGGAGGCGAAAGCGGUGUACUGGGGCUGGUCUGACGCUGAGGCACGAAAGCCAGGGGAGCGAACGGG